AGAGUUUGAUCCUGGCUCAGAUUGAACGCUGGCGGAAUGCUUUACACAUGCAAGUCGAACGGCAGCACGGGGGCAACCCUGGUGGCGAGUGGCGAACGGGUGAGUAAUACGUAGGAACMUGUCCUGUAAUGGGGGGUAACSCMCCSRRRGGKGKGSUAAUACCGCAUACGCCCUGAGGGGGAAAGCGGGGGAUUCGAAAGAACCUCGCGUUAUAGGAGUGGCCUACGGCUGAUUAGCUAGUUGGUGAGGUAAAGGCUUACCAAGGCGACGAUCAGUAGCUGGUCUGAGAGGAUGAUCAGCCACACUGGAACUGAGACACGGUCCAGACUCCUACGGGAGGCAGCAGUGGGGAAUUUUGGACAAUGGGGGAAASCSUGAUCCAGCCAUUCCGCGUGAGUGAAGAAGGCCUUCGGGUUGUAAAGCUCUUUCAGGAGGGAAGAAACGGUUGCAGCUAAUACCUGCGACUAAUGACGGUACCUUCAGAAGAAGCACCGGCUAACUACGUGCCAGCAGCCGCGGUAAUAC
RNAcentral lists this ribosomal RNA (525 nucleotides) under uncultured Hydrogenophilaceae bacterium. RNAcentral describes it as "partial 16S ribosomal RNA". It matches the Rfam family "Bacterial small subunit ribosomal RNA", at positions 8 to 526 of the family's 1533-position model. Lineage: Bacteria; Pseudomonadati; Pseudomonadota; Hydrogenophilia; Hydrogenophilales; Hydrogenophilaceae. The record is from RNAcentral.